GUGAGGAAUCUUCCACAAUGGGCGAAAGCCUGAUGGAGCAACGCCGCGUGCAGGAUGAAGGCCUUCGGGUCGUAAACUGCUUUUAUAAGUGAAGAAUAUGACGGUAACUUAUGAAUAAGCACCGGCUAACUACGUGCCAGCAGCCGCGGUCAUACGUAGGGUGCAAGCAUUAUCCGGAGUGACUGGGCGUAAAGAGUUGCGUAGGUGGUUUGUUAAGUAGGUAGUGAAAUCUGGCGGCUCAACCGUACAGGCUAUUACCUAAACUGGCAAACUCGAGAAUGGUAGAGGUAACUGGAAUUUCUUGUGUAGGAGUGAAAUCCGUAGAUAUAAGAAGGAACACCAAUGGCGUAGGCAGGUUACUGGACCAUUUCUGACACUGAGGCACGAAAGCGUGGGGAGCGAACGGGAUUAGAAACCCUGGUAGUCC
This 427-nucleotide ribosomal RNA is filed under the name uncultured bacterium. RNAcentral describes it as "partial 16S ribosomal RNA". It matches the Rfam family "Bacterial small subunit ribosomal RNA", at positions 354 to 796 of the family's 1533-position model. The record is from RNAcentral.